AAACUAAGCUAUGCGGUUGCGUCCGGCUUUUUUUAUUAUAAAAGGUAAAAUAAAUCGGAUGAGGAAAGUCCGUGCACCGUUUGCAAUUUUCUUCACGAAUUUGCAUAAAAUAAGUAGUAGCUAACGGCUACCGAGGGCGACCUUAGAAAGAGUGCAACAGAAAAUUACCGCCGAAUGUAACAAUUCGGUAAGGGUGAAAACGUGAGGUAAGGGCUCACGACGCACAAUUAAUACCUGUGCGGGUGUAAACUUUACUUGGUGCAAGUCAUUAAAUUGACGCUGUAAUUGGCUUGGCGACAGGUCUCUAAGAUAAAUUUCCGCACGCAAGUCAGUGUGUGAGAAAAUUUCUUGCACAUCUUGCCGACAGAACACGGCUUAUCGGCUUAGUUUAGUU
This 394-nucleotide RNase P RNA is filed under the name Ruminococcus sp. RNAcentral describes it as "RNase P RNA component class A". It matches the Rfam family "Bacterial RNase P class A". Rfam says of the family: Ribonuclease P (RNase P) is a ubiquitous endoribonuclease, found in archaea, bacteria and eukarya as well as chloroplasts and mitochondria. Its best characterised activity is the generation of mature 5'-ends of tRNAs by cleaving the 5'-leader elements of precursor-tRNAs. Lineage: Bacteria; Bacillati; Bacillota; Clostridia; Eubacteriales; Oscillospiraceae. The record is from RNAcentral.